UACGUAGGGGGCAAGCGUUACUCGGAAUUACUGGGCGUAAAGGGUGAGUAGGCGGCUGGGCAAGUCAAGGAUGAAAGCCCGAGGCUCAACUUCGGAACCGUCCUUGAAACUGCUCAGCUUGAGGGUAGUUGAGGAGAGCGGAAUUCCCGGUGGAGCGGUGAAAUGCGUAGAUAUCGGGAGGAACACCUGCGGCGAAGGCGGCUCUCUAAGCUACUCCUGACGCUGAAUCACGAAAGCUAGGGGAGCAGUCGGG
RNAcentral lists this ribosomal RNA (253 nucleotides) under uncultured bacterium. Its description in RNAcentral is "partial 16S ribosomal RNA". It matches the Rfam family "Bacterial small subunit ribosomal RNA", at positions 524 to 776 of the family's 1533-position model. The record is from RNAcentral.